GUGGGGAAUAUUGGACAAUGGGGGGAACCCUGAUCCAGCCAUGCCGCGUGUGUGAAGAAGGCCUUUUGGUUGUAAAGCACUUUAAGCGAGGAGGAGGCUACCGAGAUUAAUACUCUUGGAUAGUGGACGUUACUCGCAGAAUAAGCACCGGCUAACUCUGUGCCAGCAGCCGCGGUAAUACAGAGGGUGCGAGCGUUAAUCGGAUUUACUGGGCGUAAAGCGUGCGUAGGCGGCUUUUUAAGUCGGAUGUGAAAUCCCCGAGCUUAACUUGGGAAUUGCAUUCGAUACUGGGAAGCUAGAGUAUGGGAGAGGAUGGUAGAAUUCCAGGUGUAGCGGUGAAAUGCGUAGAGAUCUGGAGGAAUACCGAUGGCGAAGGCAGCCAUCUGGCCUAAUACUGACGCUGAGGCACGAAAGCAUGGGGAGCAAACAGGAUUAGAAACCCGAGUAGUCC
Molecule: ribosomal RNA, 451 nt
Filed under: uncultured bacterium
Lineage: Bacteria
Description: partial 16S ribosomal RNA
Rfam family: Bacterial small subunit ribosomal RNA
Source: RNAcentral